CCUUUCAUAAAAAUUAGUGGUAUGAUUCUCGCUUUGGGUGCGAGAGGCCGUGGGUUCGAUUCCCACUGGUCCCC
Non-coding RNA from Naegleria gruberi, 74 nucleotides. The record is from the annotation of a RefSeq genome assembly. NCBI's taxonomy places the organism in Eukaryota, Heterolobosea, Eutetramitea, Acrasida, Naegleriidae.